AUUUCGUGAUGAGGGUAUCUUCGUAAUAGUUCUUUAAACCUUUCCCAUGCCUCAUACAAUGACUUGUCAUAUAUUUUUUGAAAGGUAGUGAUCUCAUUCCAGAACUU
Non-coding RNA from Gossypium raimondii (Peruvian cotton), 107 nucleotides. Lineage: Eukaryota; Viridiplantae; Streptophyta; Magnoliopsida; Malvales; Malvaceae. The record is from Rfam.